GACAGAUGCCUGCCCUUUGUAUUUGGUAAAAUGAAACUGUAAGUAUGCAGCAGGAACGGGGUGCGAAGCCCCGGCUGCCCCGCAACGGUAAUGCCCCGCAGGAGCAGGGAUAAGCCCGGUCUACUGCAAACCUCGCCGCCCGGC
Molecule: non-coding RNA, 144 nt
Filed under: Elusimicrobiota bacterium
Lineage: Bacteria; Pseudomonadati; Elusimicrobiota
Source: RNAcentral